This 253-nucleotide ribosomal RNA is filed under the name uncultured bacterium. RNAcentral describes it as "partial 16S ribosomal RNA". It matches the Rfam family "Bacterial small subunit ribosomal RNA", at positions 524 to 776 of the family's 1533-position model. The record is from RNAcentral.
UACAGAGGUGGCAAGCGUUGUUCGGAAUUACUGGGCGUAAAGGGCGCGUAGGCGGCCAUCUAAGUCAGACGUGAAAUCCCUCGGCUCAACCGGGGAACUGCGUCUGAUACUGGGUGGCUUGAAUCCGGGAGAGGGAUGCGGAAUUCCAGGUGUAGCGGUGAAAUGCGUAGAUAUCUGGAGGAACACCGGUGGCGAAGGCGGCAUCCUGGACCGGCAUUGACGCUGAUGCGCGAAAGCGUGGGGAGCGAUCCGG